UGGGGAAUAUUGGACAAUGGGCGGAAGCCUGAUCCAGCAAUGCCGCGUGUGUGAAGAAGGCCUGCGGGUUGUAAAGCACUUUCGUUGGGGAGGAAAGGGCGAGGGUGAAUAGCUUUCGUAGAUGACGUUACCCAAAGAAGAAGCACCGGCUAACUCUGUGCCAGCAGCCGCGGUAAUACAGAGGGUGCAAGCGUUAAUCGGAAUUACUGGGCGUAAAGGGUGCGUAGGUGGCAUAUUAAGUUAGGUGUGAAAGUCCCGGGCUUAACCUGGGGAUUGCGCCUGAUACUGAUAAGCUAGAGUACUGUAGAGGAAGGUGGAAUUUCCGGUGUAGCGGUGAAAUGCGUAGAUAUCGGAAGGAACACCAGUGGCGAAGGCGACCUUCUGGACAGAUACUGACACUGAGGCACGAAAGCGUGGGGAGCAAACAG
RNAcentral lists this ribosomal RNA (428 nucleotides) under uncultured bacterium. RNAcentral describes it as "bacterial SSU rRNA". It matches the Rfam family "Bacterial small subunit ribosomal RNA", at positions 355 to 775 of the family's 1533-position model. The record is from RNAcentral.